GACCUCCAAAAGCAUAAAUAAAUGGCAAAUCGGGGCAACAGGAAGAACAGAAGAGAACUCCCUGGGAAGAAGAAAACAGAAGGGUCUCGGUAAACAUGCUAUAAUGUACUAGUGUUUCCAGUCACUUCAUCUUUUUGUCUUCAUGUCUGCAUCUCUAAGUUUACUUCCAAGUGUGAAGACUGGCUCUAAAGAGUCCACUAUAUCAAGGUCCCACACUUCAAUAACAGGAGUCAUAUUUCCCA
Molecule: long non-coding RNA, 242 nt
Organism: Prionailurus viverrinus (fishing cat)
Lineage: Eukaryota; Metazoa; Chordata; Mammalia; Carnivora; Felidae
Exons: 3
Source: RefSeq, a predicted model, not a curated record